This 406-nucleotide ribosomal RNA is filed under the name uncultured bacterium. Its description in RNAcentral is "partial 16S ribosomal RNA". It matches the Rfam family "Bacterial small subunit ribosomal RNA", at positions 29 to 526 of the family's 1533-position model. The record is from RNAcentral.
AUUGAACGCUGGCGGCAGGCCUAACACAUGCAAGUCGAGCGAGAGGCGGACGGGUGAGUAAUGUCUGGGAAACUGCCUGAUGGAGGGGGAUAACUACUGGAAACGGUAGCUCAUACCGCAUACCCUCAGAUGUGCCCAGAUGGGAUUAGCUAGUAGGUGGGGUAAUGGCGCACCUAGGCGACGAUACCUAGCUGGUCGGAGAGGAUGACCAGCAACAUGGGAACUGAGACACGGUCCAGAUUCCUACGGGGGGCAGCAGUGGGAAAUAUUGCACAAUGGGGGCAAGCCUGAUGCAGCCAUGCCGGGUGUGUGAAGAAGGCCUUCGGGUGGUAAAGCACUUUCAGCGGGGAGGCGUUACCCGCAGAAGAAGCACCGGCUAACUCCGUGCCAGCAGCCGCGGUAAUAC